Molecule: ribosomal RNA, 218 nt
Filed under: uncultured Lactobacillus sp.
Lineage: Bacteria; Bacillati; Bacillota; Bacilli; Lactobacillales; Lactobacillaceae
Description: partial 16S ribosomal RNA
Rfam family: Bacterial small subunit ribosomal RNA
Source: RNAcentral
UAACACCUGGAAACAGAUGCUAAUACCGGAUAACAACAGAUGAUGCCUAUCAACUGUUUAAAAGAUGGUUCUGCUAUCACUCUUGGAUGGACCUGCGGUGCAUUAGCUAGUUGGUAGGGUAACGGCCUACCAAGGCGAUGAUGCAUAGCCGAGUUGAGAGACUGAUCGGCCACAUUGGGACUGAGACACGGCCCAAACUCCUACGGGAGGCAGCAGUA